AGAUUGAACGCUAGCGGGAUGCUUUACACAUGCAAGUCGAACGGCAGCGCGGACUUCGGUCUGGCGGCGAGUGGCGAACGGGUGAGUAAUAUAUCGGAACGUGCCCAGUAGCGGGGGAUAACUACGCGAAAGCGUGGCUAAUACCGCAUACGCCCUACGGGGGAAAGGGGGGGAUCGCAAGACCUCUCACUAUUGGAGCGGCCGAUAUCAGAUUAGCUAGUUGGUGAGGUAAAGGCUCACCAAGGCGACGAUCUGUAGCUGGUUUGAGAGGACGACCAGCCACACUGGGACUGAGACACGGCCCAGACUCCGUACGGGAGGCAGCAGUGGGGAAUUUUGGACAAUGGGGGAAACCCUGAUCCAGCCAUCCCGCGUGUGCGAUGGAAGGCCUUCGGGUUGUAAAGCUAGUUUGCGAGGAAGAACGGCGUCG
This 430-nucleotide ribosomal RNA is filed under the name uncultured soil bacterium. Its description in RNAcentral is "bacterial SSU rRNA". It matches the Rfam family "Bacterial small subunit ribosomal RNA", at positions 26 to 457 of the family's 1533-position model. The record is from RNAcentral.